Molecule: signal recognition particle RNA, 264 nt
Filed under: Herbivorax alkaliphila
Lineage: Bacteria; Bacillati; Bacillota; Clostridia; Acetivibrionales; Acetivibrionaceae
Description: signal recognition particle sRNA large type
Rfam family: Bacterial large signal recognition particle RNA
About the family: The signal recognition particle (SRP) is a universally conserved ribonucleoprotein involved in the co-translational targeting of proteins to membranes.
Source: RNAcentral
UCGUGCUAGAUGGGGAGGUAGCGGUGCCCUGUACCUGCAAUCCGCUAUAGCAGGAUUGAAUACCUUCUUGAGGCUUGUUUUUGUAAGGUCUGGUCUGUGUAAGUGGCAAUGAAGAUCGGGUCCUGCGCAAUGUAACCCUAUGAACUCCGUCAGGUUCGGAAGAAAGCAGCGGUAAGUAGGCCCUUACGUGUGCCGCGGGAUAGCCUGAUUCGAGUUAACUGCACAGGUAUCGCUUAUAGAAGCAUGUCGAUAGAAGGUGCACGG